RNAcentral lists this long non-coding RNA (287 nucleotides) under Anas platyrhynchos platyrhynchos (common mallard). Its description in RNAcentral is "lncRNA (ENSAPLG00000028336.1)". The record is from RNAcentral. Lineage: Eukaryota; Metazoa; Chordata; Aves; Anseriformes; Anatidae.
GGUUCCAUUUGGAGACCACAGGAAACAAACAGGUGCCAAAAGCACAAGGCUGUCUCCUCACUUUUUUUUUUUUUUUUUUUUCAUUCCUAGUGCUUGGCAAAAAGCUUCUUAGCUAGCUGCCUCUGCAGUUCAACAUCGUCUGGAAGCUCCCACCUGUUUCCGUACCUGCAGAUCUGUUCUCCUCUUCCUGCAAAAAGCACUAUUUUGAUGUUCUGACUGUUCUGAAUAGUACACCCUGCUACUUGGGAAACAGCAAAAUGCCAGUCCUUUCAUGUGAUACUAUGUAG